This 69-nucleotide transfer RNA is filed under the name Megalops atlanticus (tarpon). RNAcentral describes it as "tRNA-OTHER". Lineage: Eukaryota; Metazoa; Chordata; Actinopteri; Elopiformes; Megalopidae. The record is from RNAcentral.
GCAGUAUAGCAUAGUGGUAAGGCGCAGGGCUUGUAACCGAAAGGUUGCCGUUUCAAUUCCCGCUGUGCA